GACGAACGCUGGCGGCGUGCUUAACACAUGCAAGUCGAACGGAAAGGCCCUGCUUUUGUGGGGUGCUCGAGUGGCGAACGGGUGAGUAACACGUGAGUAACCUGCCCUUGACUUUGGGAUAACUUCAGGAAACUGGGGCUAAUACCGGAUAGGAGCUCCUGCUGCAUGGUGGGGGUUGGAAAGUUUCGGCGGUUGGGGAUGGACUCGCGGCUUAUCAGCUUGUUGGUGGGGUAGUGGCUUACCAAGGCUUUGACGGGUAGCCGGCCUGGGAGGGUGACCGGGCACAUUGGGACUGAGAGACGGCCCAGACUCCUACGGGAGGCAGCAGUGGGGAAUAUUGCACAAUGGGCGGAAGCCUGAUGCAGCAACGCCGCGUGCGGGAUGACGGCCUUCGGGUUGUAAACCGCUUUCGCCUGUGACGAAGCGUGAGUGACGGUAAUGGGUAAAGAAGCACCGGCUAACUACGUG
Molecule: ribosomal RNA, 468 nt
Filed under: uncultured bacterium
Lineage: Bacteria
Description: partial 16S ribosomal RNA
Rfam family: Bacterial small subunit ribosomal RNA
Source: RNAcentral